ACGAAGGGUGCGAGCGUUGUUCGGAAUUACUGGGCGUAAAGGGAGCGUAGGCGGUUAGAUAAGAUAGGGGUGAAAUUCCAAGGCUUAACCUUGGGACUGCCUUUAUAACUAUUUAGCUAGAGUAUGGUAGAGGUAAGCGGAAUACCCAGUGUAGAGGUGAAAUUCGUAGAUCUUGGGUAGAACACCGAAUGCGAAGGCGGCUUACUGUGCCAUUACUGACGCUGAUGCGCGACCUCGUGGGUAGCAAACAG
Molecule: ribosomal RNA, 251 nt
Filed under: uncultured prokaryote
Description: partial 16S rRNA
Rfam family: Bacterial small subunit ribosomal RNA
Source: RNAcentral